AUUGAACGCUGGCGGCAGGCCUAACACAUGCAAGUCGAACGAGUGGCGGACGGGUGAGUAAUGUCUGGGAAACUGCCCGAUGGAGGGGGAUAACUACUGGAAACGGUAGCUAAUACCGCAUACCAUCGGAUGUGCCCAGAAGGGAUUAGCUUGUAGGUGAGGUAACGGCUCACCUAGGCGACGAUCCCUAGCCGGUCUGAGAGGAUGACCAGCCCAACUGGGACUGAGGCACGGGCCCAGCUCCUACGGGGGGCAGCAGUGGGGGAUAUUGCACAAUGGGCGGAAGCCUGAUGCAGCCAUGGCGCGUGUAUGAAAAAGGCCUUCGGGUUUUAAAAGACUUUCAGCCGGGAGGCGUUACCCGCAGAAGAAGCACCGGCUAACUCCGUGCCAGCAGCCGCGGUAAUAC
RNAcentral lists this ribosomal RNA (406 nucleotides) under uncultured bacterium. RNAcentral describes it as "partial 16S ribosomal RNA". It matches the Rfam family "Bacterial small subunit ribosomal RNA", at positions 30 to 526 of the family's 1533-position model. The record is from RNAcentral.